This 1809-nucleotide ribosomal RNA is filed under the name Triticum aestivum (bread wheat). RNAcentral's name for it is "partial small subunit ribosomal RNA". Lineage: Eukaryota; Viridiplantae; Streptophyta; Magnoliopsida; Poales; Poaceae. The record is from RNAcentral.
AUGGCACUCCCGCUCCGACUCCUCGGCCGCAUCGGCGGCGGCGGCGGCCGCCGCGGCCGCCUCCCGCCGCCGCUCGCCGCCCUCGCCCACCUCUCCGCCGCCUCGCCACACCGAGGCCCCACCCACGAGCCGCCCUCUCCUGCCCCUCUGCAUCGUUUCCCAGCUCCCGCCCCCCCUUUCGCCGUGCCCGCGCGGAGCUUCUCCUGGUACUCCCGCUCCCCCGCCCCCGCCGCGGCUGAGGGGGCCCCGGCUAACGAGGGCGCGAGCGCCGGGAAGGAUUUCGUUUACUUGGACGAUGCGAGUACCGUCGAUUACGGUGAAGAGCUCGCCGCCGCCGCAGGUGGCGCGGCGGAUGCCGCCGUCGGAGUGGCCGCAGGUGGCAAUGGAGGCGGCCUGUCGGGGUUCGCUAUGGACUCUUUGAUCGGCGUCCUCGACGGCUUCCAUAAUCUCACCGGUCUGCCAUGGUGGAUAACAAUCUCCGCCUCCACUGUGGCCAUGCGGCUAAUCAUACUCCCCGCCCUGAUAGUACAAUUUCAUAAGACUGCUAAAAUCGGCCAACUUUUUCGAAAAUUGCCCCCUCCAUUGCCCCCUCCUCUAUCAGGAAGGAGUUAUCGUGACCAAUACUCUCUUUUCCAGAAGAAAAGGCGAGAGCUUGGUUGUCCCUCCUUUCUUUGGAAUUUUGCCUACUUUUCAGUUCAGUUCCCUUGCUUUAUACUGUGGAUGGCAAGCAUCCGGAGUAUGUGCCUCAGUAAUCACCCUGGAUUAGAUAAUGGCGGUAUUCUGUGGUUUAAUAACUUGACCGAGUUUCCACAUGGCGCUUUAGGUCCUGUUUUUCCUAUCUUAGUUGCUGGGCUCCAUUAUUUAAAUGUCCAGAUUUCCUUCCAGAAAAGCCAGGCAAAGCACUACCCUGGAGUUUUAGGUUUAUUAGCAAAGUACUACAAGAUUUACCUUGAUAUUCUGGCUAUUCCUUUGUUUCUUAUCGCAUAUGUGGUCCCUCAGGGGAGCCUGGUCUACUGGACUACCAAUGGUUUAUUUCACGUAGCUCAGCAAUUGUCCCUCAGAAAUGAUAUUGUCCGCAAGAUGUUGGGAUUGCCUGAUACUGGAGCUCUCGCUGGUAAUACAUCUCCAAAAUCUCUUCACGAGGGUCAGAAGAUAAUGCAGCGGUGGCCCCUUGGAGAUUCUCGCAUGCAAUCGAAAUUGGAAUCGUCUACAACUCCAAAGUUUAUGUUUGAGGAUAGUAAAAUAAUGGAUGAAAAUGUAUCUGCUGAGUCCAGUUCACCUGAGGAGCUUCUUCAACAAGCGUUACAAUAUUUGGGAGCUGGCUGCCAAGAUCAAGCUGUUCCGCUUAUCAGAACAGCAAUAGAGAAAAACCCAGAUCUACAUAUAGCUUUGAUUGGAAUGGGGCAAACCUUGUUCUCAAAUAAGUUGUUUCCUGAAGCCUCAGUGUGUUUUGAACAUGCUAUACCAAAGAUUGAAGAACAAGAUCCUCUUCUUGUGCUUGCGUACUUUAGUGCGGGUCUUUCACGUAAAAAUCAGGGCGAUAAGGAGACGGCAAUCAAGCUCCUGCAAAGACUAACAGAGCUCAAGGAACCAGAACAAGUGAUGAACAAAGCAUGCUAUUUCCAAGGCUUUAUUGCUCUAGGAAGUAUACUAUCAAAUGAAGGACGGAAAUCUGAGGCUGCGAAAUACCUGCGGGCGGCUACUGCUUAUGAUCCUGGUGUUGAGAGAUUUCUGAAGGAAUGUGAGGAAGCAAUGGAAGAUCAAUCAAGUCAGCAGAGCACUGGGCCACCCAACCUGAAAGGGCCGUAA